UACGAAGGGGGCUAGCGUUGUUCGGAAUUACUGGGCGUAAAGCGGGUGUAGGCGGAUCUUUAAGUCGGAGGUGAAAGCCCAGGGCUCAACCCUGGAAUUGCCUUCGAUACUGGAGAUCUGGAGUGUGGGAGAGGUGAGUGGAGUUCCGAGUGGAGAGGUGAAAUUCGUAGAUAUUCGGAGGAACACCAGAGGCGAAGGCGGCUCACUGGACCAUGACUGACGCUGAGACCCGAAAGCGUGGGGAGCAAACAGG
This 253-nucleotide ribosomal RNA is filed under the name uncultured bacterium. RNAcentral's name for it is "partial 16S ribosomal RNA". It matches the Rfam family "Bacterial small subunit ribosomal RNA", at positions 524 to 776 of the family's 1533-position model. The record is from RNAcentral.